This 425-nucleotide ribosomal RNA is filed under the name uncultured bacterium. RNAcentral describes it as "bacterial SSU rRNA". It matches the Rfam family "Bacterial small subunit ribosomal RNA", at positions 354 to 796 of the family's 1533-position model. The record is from RNAcentral.
GUGGGGAAUAUUGGACAAUGGGCGCAAGCCUGAUCCAGCCAUGCCGCGUGAGUGAUGAAGGCCUUAGGGUUGUAAAGCUCUUUCAGUGGGGACGAUAAUGACGGUACCCACAGAAGAAGCCCCGGCUAACUUCGUGCCAGCAGCCGCGGUAAUACGAAGGGGGCUAGCGUUGUUCGGAUUUACUGGGCGUAAAGCGCACGUAGGCGGAUCGUUAAGUCGAGGGUGAAAUCCUGGAGCUCAACUCCAGAACUGCCUUCGAUACUGGCGAUCUUGAGUCCGGAAGAGGUGAGUGGAACUCCUAGUGUAGAGGUGGAAUUCGUAGAUAUUAGGAAGAACACCAGUGGCGAAGGCGGCUCACUGGUCCGGUACUGACGCUGAGGUGCGAAAGCGUGGGGAGCAAACAGGAUUAGAAACCCCGGUAGUCC